RNAcentral lists this ribosomal RNA (443 nucleotides) under uncultured Prevotella sp. RNAcentral's name for it is "bacterial SSU rRNA". It matches the Rfam family "Bacterial small subunit ribosomal RNA", at positions 355 to 794 of the family's 1533-position model. Lineage: Bacteria; Pseudomonadati; Bacteroidota; Bacteroidia; Bacteroidales; Prevotellaceae. The record is from RNAcentral.
UGAGGAAUAUUGGGUCAAUGGGCGCAAGCCUGAACCAGCCAAGUAGCGUGAGGGACGACGGCCCUAUGGGUUGUAAACCUCUUUUAUGCGGGGAUAACCGGCGCCACGGGUGGCGCCCUGCAGGUACCGCAUGAAUAAGGACCGGCUAAUUCCGUGCCAGCAGCCGCGGUAAUACGGAAGGUCCGGGCGUUAUCCGGAUUCAUUGGGUUUAAAGGGAGCGUAGGCCGCCCUUUAAGCGUGUUGUGAAAUGUAGGGGCUCAACCCCUGCACUGCAGCGCGAACUGGAGGGCUUGAGUACACGCAAGGCAGGCGGAAUUCGUGGUGUAGCGGUGAAAUGCUUAGAUAUGACGAAGAACUCCGAUUGCGAAGGCAGCUGACGGGAGCGUUACUGACGCUUAAGCUCGAAAGUGCGGGUAUCGAACAGGAUUAGAUACCCUGGUAGU